CCUACGGGGGGCAGCAGUCGAGAAUCAUUCACAAUGGGGGUAACCCUGAUGGUGCGACGCCGCGUGGGGGAAUGAAGGUCUUCGGAUUGUAAACCCCUGUCAUGUGGGAGCAAAUUAAAAAGAUAGUACCACAAGAGGAAGAGACGGCUAACCCUGUGCCAGCAGCCGCGGUAAUACAGAGGGCUCAAGCGUUGUUCGGAAUCACUGGGCGUAAGGCGUGCGUAGGCUGUUUCGUAAGUCGUGUGUGAAAGGCGCGGGCUCAACCCGCGGACGGCACAUGAUACUGCGAGACUAGAGUAAUGGAGGGGGAACCGGAAUUCUCGGUGUAGCAGUGAAAUGCGUAGAUAUCGAGAGGAACACUCGUGGCGAAGGCGGGUUCCUGGACAUUAACUGACGCUGAGGCACGAAGGCCAGGGGAGCGAAAGGGAUUAGAUACCCGUGUAGUC
This 446-nucleotide ribosomal RNA is filed under the name uncultured bacterium. Its description in RNAcentral is "partial 16S ribosomal RNA". It matches the Rfam family "Bacterial small subunit ribosomal RNA", at positions 338 to 795 of the family's 1533-position model. The record is from RNAcentral.